This is a long non-coding RNA of Grus americana (Whooping crane), 2300 nucleotides long. RefSeq lists it as uncharacterized. The record is from RefSeq and is a predicted model, not a curated record. The transcript is spliced from 3 exons. Lineage: Eukaryota; Metazoa; Chordata; Aves; Gruiformes; Gruidae.
GCCUCCGGGGCGGGACCGGACCAGGCACCGGCGGCGGUCGAGCUGUGGGAGAGCCCCACCACCCCCACCCCCGCACGUGGCGGCGGCCCCCGGGCUGUCCGCGGAGGGGAAGCGGCGGGGCCCGGCGGGGCCGUUGCCCAGCGGCCGUUAGAGCGUCGGGAGCGGCGGCUGGGGAUGCCCUCGCCCCGCACCCCGUCCUCCACACGUCGUCAGGCUGAAGGCACCUUGGGCGCUGGUGCACCUCGGAAAGGCGGGAAGUACGUGUCUGAGAGCUAACGUCAGGAGUGUAAUAAAUACACCUAUACAUAGCUGGCCAUAAGCAACAUGCAGAUCGACCGGGGAGCGCUCGCCUGGGCAGGUUUGUGCAUCGCUGCAGUGCCCGAGGCCACACGCAAAGCGCGCUGACUGACCACGGCAGAUGAACUUGGACGGGGGGAAGGAGGGCGCGUCCGGCCCCCGGCCGCGCUGCCGGCCUUGCGAGGGGCCGCUCUGCGCAGCGUGCACCGCGUCCCGGCGAUGGCAACUGCCACCGCCCGUACCGCGCCGGGAGGCUGCCGUGCUGCCGCUGGCCGUGCUUGCUCUGUGCCGCUUCGGACCUGCCGCCCUCGGCCUUGUACAACUACUCAGUCCGGAUACGUAUUUCUUACCCUGUGGCACUGCGUGCUUGUGCUCUUCCGUGGGUACAACCACAGCACUACGUAAGUAAGGACGGCAGACGCCGCUGUGCCAGCUUGUGGAGAUCAACAGCUAGCAGAAGUCUGCACAGCGAUGCCGAUUUUUCAAAUGCUAACAAAACUGUAGAAUUGUGAUGUAGCCUUUAUGCCGGAGAUGCAGGGUCUACAAGAAGCAGAAUCUACUGACAACUAUUUUCUUCUUACCCAAAUAUUUAUUUACAGUUCUGUGUUUCCAGAAGAACAUUUCAUUAUAUUAUUUUUUUUUUAUUUUUCUGCAAGGCUUGACUUGAAAAGAAGCCAGGCUGAGGAUCUCGUGCACUUUUCAGCUGUCUGCAUGAAGGGUGGCCUGUAACGGCUUAAAAACGUAAGGCCAAGAACAGCUCAGGAAGCGGGUGAGUGCUCUUCCAAACUUGUCAAUCAUCUUAAGAGGAGGAACCCAUUACCAGCUUUCUCAAGGAACAGGAGCAGCCCUCUCGAGCAGCCUUGUCUGUCCUAUCAGCCACCUCAUACUUGGGAAGGAAAAUGUCAAAAGGGUGGAAAUCCCAACAGAUGUGAGGUUGUAAUGAAGGGUUUAUGAACGUGAGUGUAAGACUAGACCUGCACUUCCUGGUGAGCCUCCCUGCAAGCCCUCACAUGAUACCUUCUGCGUGGCCUGUGCCUGGGAGACAAGGCAUUUGUCUUCUGCCAAUUCUGUCUGGUCAAUAGCUUGUCCCUUCAAAAGCUUCAAGAGUGAGAAGGAACCCCAUCCUGCACAAUAUGAAUAGAAGAAGGGGUCCCCAUCUCCUUACCAUCUCAAGUCCUUCUGUCCCUGCAGACUUCAGCAUACAGAAAAGUCUCCUGUGGGCAAAUCCGUGUUCCUACCCAGGUCAGACCAAACGGGGAGUAAGGGAGUAGGGGGGUGAUGGCAGAGAAGAAAGCGACCACACGUAUCUGCUCUUUGACUCCCUUGACUCCUUGUGCAACAGAUGUAGUGAUAGUCUGGUGUGUAGUAACUGCACAACUACUGUUGGCACCAGUGUUGUGAAAGACUAAAAUCGAAUGUCCCUGCAGUAUUCAAUAAUAAAUUAUUUGCAAACAUAAUUCAAAAACUAAGGCCCUAGAUGUGUUGGCUUGUAUUCUCUUCUGUCCUCCACUGAGAGGAGAUUACAAAAUACAUACAAACCUACUCCCACUACAAUGGACCACGCUUUCUAGCAGGGGGCCUCUGUUUCUCUUUUGAGACAUGCCGACACAUUUCUGAAGUUAAGAAAUAGUCAUAAUAGCUGGUUCUGUUAAUAACAAUCUCUUGCAAUGAGGGUGAGAAAAUGAAGCUGAUAUAUCAGGUAUUCAUCUAACUUUAUGUUUUAUUUGUGUGUUAUCUUGUAAACACGAGGAAAUUUACACAAAAUGCGGGGCUAACCUAACUUCCCAUGGGGACUUCUGCAGGUACAGGGCUGAUGAGACCUGCCCCUUAACUACAGAGUAGGCAGGAACAGAGACUGCUUUUACCUUCACGCCCUACUUACAUUUUAAAACACUAUCUACACAGACAUAUUCAAUAAUUCUGACCAUGCAACUAGUUGUUCUUUCCACUCACUACAUCAAUAUUGUGAUAAAAUAAGCAUCUUUUUAUACUGAUAGUUUGGG